Stylophora pistillata is the source of this 217-nucleotide long non-coding RNA. The record is from RefSeq and is a predicted model, not a curated record. NCBI's taxonomy places the organism in Eukaryota, Metazoa, Cnidaria, Anthozoa, Scleractinia, Pocilloporidae.
AUGGUUGCAAGACAACAACUUUACUGAAUUGCCUUCUGAUUUAUUCCAAGAUCUAAAAAGCCUGACAGAACUCUAUCUGUCAAAGAACAAGCUGAAGAGUCUGCCAAACGGACUUUUCAACAGCCUUUCCAAGCUGAUACAUCUGGAUUUGUCAAACAAUGAACUUGGAAAUCUGCCACCGCACAUCUUCAGAAACAUUACAGCGGUAGAAUUUCUG